Small nucleolar RNA from Gossypium arboreum, 106 nucleotides. It matches the Rfam family "Plant small nucleolar RNA R71". From Rfam's summary of the family: R71 is a member of the C/D box family of snoRNAs containing the C (UGAUGA) and D (CUGA) box motifs. Multiple nearly identical copies of this snoRNA have been identified in Arabidopsis, and it is thought to function as a 2'-O-ribose methylation guide for 18S ribosomal RNA. NCBI's taxonomy places the organism in Eukaryota, Viridiplantae, Streptophyta, Magnoliopsida, Malvales, Malvaceae. The record is from Rfam.
AUCUCGUGGUGAGGGCACUUGCAAAGUAAUUGUUUGAAUAUUUCCCAUGCCUUGUAUAAGGAUUUUUCAUCCAUUUGCUUGAAAGCGGUGAUCUCAUUUUGCAACU